ACUAACUAAUGGUUAGUAUCCAUAACUGUUAAGGUUAUGAGAAGGAAGACGCAGUGAACUGAAACAUCUAAGUAGCUGCAGGAAGAGAAAGCAAACGCGAUUGCCUUAGUAGCGGCGAGCGAAACGGCAGGAGGGCAAACCGGAGUGUUUACACUUCGGGGUUGUAGGACUGCGACGUGGGACUUUAAAAGGAUAGAAGAAUUACCUGGGAAGGUAAGCCAAAGAGAGU
Molecule: ribosomal RNA, 229 nt
Filed under: Salmonella enterica subsp. enterica serovar Typhimurium str. STm12
Lineage: Bacteria; Pseudomonadati; Pseudomonadota; Gammaproteobacteria; Enterobacterales; Enterobacteriaceae
Description: partial 23S ribosomal RNA
Rfam family: Bacterial large subunit ribosomal RNA
Source: RNAcentral